UUGUUGAGGGUUAUAUUAUUUAAAAUUACUGUGUGGGCCUAAAAUUAGCCAUCACAAAAGUUUGUUAUAAAAUAACAAAGUAUAUUAAAAAUAUUAUUAUAUGUAGCACCACAAAAAUUUAUAAGAACAAUAAUCUAAACUAAAAGAUUUAAUAUGCCUAUGCUAGGAUGAGUAUUAUAAAAUUAUGUAUUAAGUAAAACUAGUACUUCUAAAAAAAUAUUUUUUAUAUAAAUUAAAGAGAAGGAAUUUGGCAAAUAUUGUUUCGCCUGUUUAUCAAAAACAUGGCUCUUUGGAAAGAACACAUAAAGAGUCGAACCUGCCCGGUGAAUUAUUUUAACGGCCGCGGUACCCUGACCGUGCAAAGGUAGCAUAAUCAUUUGCCUUAUAAUUGAAGGCUAGCAUGAAUGGUCUGACGAAAGCAAUACUGUCUCCUCUUUAUUUUUUAGAAAUUAACUUGUAGGUGAAGAGGCCUAUAUUAUAUUGAAG
Molecule: ribosomal RNA, 486 nt
Filed under: Melanoides tuberculata
Lineage: Eukaryota; Metazoa; Mollusca; Gastropoda; Thiaridae
Description: partial large subunit ribosomal RNA
Rfam family: Archaeal large subunit ribosomal RNA (bases 222-474)
Source: RNAcentral